GUUAAUGUAGCUUAAACUAAAGCAAAGCGCUGAAAAUGCUUAGAUGAGUGUUACCACUCCAUAAACA
This 67-nucleotide transfer RNA is filed under the name Glaucomys volans (southern flying squirrel). RNAcentral's name for it is "tRNA-Phe". It matches the Rfam family "tRNA". From Rfam's summary of the family: Transfer RNA (tRNA) molecules are approximately 80 nucleotides in length. Their secondary structure includes four short double-helical elements and three loops (D, anti-codon, and T loops). Further hydrogen bonds mediate the characteristic L-shaped molecular structure. tRNAs have two regions of fundamental functional importance: the anti-codon, which is responsible for specific mRNA codon recognition, and the 3' end, to which the tRNAs corresponding amino acid is attached (by aminoacyl-tRNA synthetases). tRNAs cope with the degeneracy of the genetic code in two manners: having more than one tRNA (with a specific anti-codon) for a particular amino acid; and 'wobble' base-pairing, i.e. permitting non-standard base-pairing at the 3rd anti-codon position. The record is from RNAcentral. Lineage: Eukaryota; Metazoa; Chordata; Mammalia; Rodentia; Sciuridae.